Molecule: ribosomal RNA, 447 nt
Filed under: uncultured bacterium
Lineage: Bacteria
Description: bacterial SSU rRNA
Rfam family: Bacterial small subunit ribosomal RNA
Source: RNAcentral
ACUCCUACGGGAGGCAGCAGUGGGGAAUCUUGGACAAUGGGCGCAAGCCUGAUCCAGCCAUGCCGCGUGAGUGAUGAAGGCCCUAGGGUCGUAAAGCUCUUUCGCCAGGGAUGAUAAUGACAGUACCUGGUAAAGAAACCCCGGCUAACUCCGUGCCAGCAGCCGCGGUAAUACGGAGGGGUUAGCGUUGUUCGGAAUUACUGGGGCGUAAAGCGCGCGUAGGCGGACUGGAAAGUUGGGGUGAAAUCCCGGGGCUCAACCCCGGAACUGCCUCCAAAACUCCCAGUCUUGAGUUCGAGAGAGGUGAGUGGAAUUCCGAGUGUAGAGGUGAAAUUCGUAGAUAUUCGGAGGAACACCAGUGGCGAAGGCGGCUCACUGGCUCGAUACUGACGCUGAGGUGCGAAAGUGUGGGGAGCAAACAGGAUUAGAUACCCUGGUAGGAUAGCG